RNAcentral lists this non-coding RNA (116 nucleotides) under Arthrobacter sp. RNAcentral describes it as "SAM-IV sequence". It matches the Rfam family "SAM (S-adenosyl methionine) riboswitch aptamer". From Rfam's summary of the family: SAM-IV is a mRNA element that regulates gene expression via direct sensing of S-adenosylmethionine (SAM or AdoMet). SAM-IV riboswitches share conserved nucleotide positions with the previously described SAM-I riboswitches sequence analysis and molecular recognition experiments suggest that SAM-I and SAM-IV riboswitches share similar ligand binding sites, but have different scaffolds. Lineage: Bacteria; Bacillati; Actinomycetota; Actinomycetes; Micrococcales; Micrococcaceae. RNAcentral also lists the same sequence under 1 other name. The record is from RNAcentral.
GGUCAUGAGUGUCAGCGACAAGCCCCGGCUCGCUGACCGGCAACCCUCCACCGCGGUGGGGUGCCCCGGGUGAAGACCUGGCACUGGGCCGUCCGGCCGCAGUGCAAGCGCGGGCC